AGCCACAUCACAUUGAAACAAUAGAUCCCAUACAAUCACUGAAGUUAAGCAACAUCGAGCCUGGUCAGUACCAAGAUGAGCAACUGCUUGGGAAUACCAAGUGCU
Molecule: non-coding RNA, 105 nt
Organism: Acanthosepion pharaonis
Lineage: Eukaryota; Metazoa; Mollusca; Cephalopoda; Sepiida; Sepiidae
Source: the annotation of a GenBank genome assembly